UGGGGAAUAUUGGACAAUGGACCACAAGUCUGAUCCAGCAAUUCUGUGUGCACGAUGACGUUUUUCGGAAUGUAAAGUGCUUUCAGUCGGGAAGAAGUCAGUGACGGUACCGACAGAAGAAGCGACGGCUAAAUACGUGCCAGCAGCCGCGGUAAUACGUAUGUCGCAAGCGUUAUCCGGAUUUAUUGGGCGUAAAGCGCGUCUAGGCGGCAAGGAAAGUCUGAUGUGAAAAUGCGGAGCUCAACUCCGUAUGGCGUUGGAAACUGCCUUACUAGAGUACUGGAGAGGUAGGCGGAACUACAAGUGUAGAGGUGAAAUUCGUAGAUAUUUGUAGGAAUGCCGAUGGGGAAGCCAGCCUACUGGACAGAUACUGACGCUAAAGCGCGAAAGCGUGGGUAGCAAACAAGAUUAGAUACCCUGGUAGUCCACGCUGUAAACGAUGAUUACUAGGUGUUGGGGGUCAAACCUCAGCGCCCAAGCUAACGCGAUAAGUAAUCCGCCUGGGGAGUACGUACGCAAGUAUG
This 524-nucleotide ribosomal RNA is filed under the name uncultured bacterium. RNAcentral's name for it is "bacterial SSU rRNA". It matches the Rfam family "Bacterial small subunit ribosomal RNA", at positions 355 to 896 of the family's 1533-position model. The record is from RNAcentral.